CGCGGAGCUGGUACCCUGCAGUCUCCUGCUAGCGGGCGGGGGUGGCUUGUGAGGGCGCCGUGGCCGGUUCAUGGCGCGGGCGGUACCGGCCUCUGCAGGUGACGGAGGCACAGCGAGGGCCGCCCCGGCGUAGAGUUCCAAAAGAUGAGUCAUGGAUAUUCAGAAAACAACAAUUUCCUAAACAAUAACAACCAAAUGGUGUUGGACAUGAUCCUUUACCCAUUAAUUGGAAUCCACCAGACCAUCAACUGGGAAUCAGUGGCAAGGCUUGUGCCUGGAUUAACACCCAAAGAGUGUGCAAAGAGGUUUGAUGAACUGAAGAACAGUGGAAGCUCACCUGUGGACAACCACUGUAGUCCCCUCAUGGCUGCUGGAGAGAGUCCUGUUGAAACUUUAGCCACGUAUAUCAAAUCCUCGCUUCUUGGCACACAAAGAGAAUUUCAGGAGACUCCAGUUGGUCAGGAUGCAGUUUCUAAAACAGGAAGACAUAGUAUAGCUUCCACAAGGAAUUGUUCUUCAGAAAGUGAAAAUUGUACUACUCAUAAUGGUGGAGAAAAGACUGAAGAAUCUGAAGGGCCAAACAUGGUGAUCCAUGUAUGUGAUGAAGCAAAAAACUUGAAAGAAGAUUUUAUUUGCCCACGAGAUCUUUUGAUAUCAGAAAUGAAGUACUUUGCUGAAUAUUUAUCUGUGGACGCCCAGCGCUGGGAAGAGGUGGACAUUUCAGUUCAUUGUGACGUUCACAUUUUCAACUGGUUGAUAAAAUAUGUUAAAAGGAACACUAAGGAGAAUAAAGAUUGUGAGAUGCCCACUUUAGAGCCAGGAAAUGUCAUUUCAAUUCUUAUUUCUUCAGAAUUUUUGAAAAUGGAUUCAUUAGUUGAACAAUGUAUUCAGUAUUGCCACAAAAAUAUGAAUGCCAUAGUAGCUACCCCAUGCAACAUGAAUUGUAUUAAUGCAAAUCUUCUUACACGUAUAGCUGAUCUAUUCACACACAGUGAAAUUGAUGAUUUAAAGGACAAGAAAGAUAAGUUUAGGAGUAAACUUUUUUGUAAGAAGAUUGAGAGACUGUUUGAUCCAGAAUACUUGAAUCCAGAUUCUCAGAAUAAUGCAGCAACAUUAUACAGAUGCUGUUUGUGUAAGAAACUUUUAACAAAAGAAACAGAAAGAAGAAUUCCUUGCAUUCCUGGAAAAAUCAAUGUGGAUCAACAUGGAAAUAUUAUCUACAUUCAUAUAAGAGAUAAGACUUGGGAUGUUCAUGAGUAUUUGAAUAGUCUUUCUGAAGAAUUAAAAUCUUGGAGAGAUGUAUAUUGGCGCUUGUGGGGAACAGUCAACUGGCUAACUUGUUCAAGAUGUUAUCAGGCUUUUCUGUGUAUAGAGUUUUCACAUUGUCAAUAUCACUCAGAAACAGUGAUUUAUCCUACUGCAGGAAGUUCGCUAAGUUCUGCUGGCACUGGAAUCUAUCCCUGCUGUAACCAAAAGGUUCUUCGGUUUGACCCCACUCAGCUUACAAAGGGUUGUAAAGUGAAGGACCACAUGGUGGUUCUUCGUGAUCAAGGUGAAGGUGAAGAUUUGCUGUCCUGCCCAACUGCCAGAAUACUGGAUGAUCUGCAUAAACACAAAGAUGUCAUUCUUGUGCCUUUUGCUAAAGAUACAGUCAGUGAUUCUGGUGGUCCCUGUGAUGAAAAGGGUCUAGACUGUGAUGUUUUACUGGAGCCAAAUACACCAUGGGGCCCCAAGAGUGGGGAGCUCAAUGCUUUCUUAUCACUGAAAAACUGGACACUGCAGCUGAAACAGCAGUCAUUAUUUUCAGAAGAAGAAGAAUAUACCACUGGGUCCGAGGUCACUGAAGAUGAAGUUGGAGAUGAAGAAGAAGUAUCCAAGAAACAAAGGAAAAAGGAGAAGCCAAAGAAAUUCACUAAACAACCAAAAAAGCAGAUGUCUUCACCCUGUGGUCAGAAGAAAGAAAAGGCAUUGGAGAAGGAAGGAGUAAAAAGCCAGUCAACUUCUAGAGAUGUGUCUCCUUUCAUUGUGAGUAUGCAGAAGAAUAAGUGGGAUGCCACAAGAUCCUUGAGAUUCAACCAAGAUGCACAAAGAGAAGAUGAUCAACGGCGGAUGUCUGAAAUUACAGGGCACCUAAUAAAGAUGAGAUUGGGUGAUCUGGACCGAGUCAAGUCAAAGGAAGCAAAAGAAUUUGCAGGAGGUAUUUAUUCCAGGCUCGAAGCACAAAUCAAGGCCUCAGUGCCAGUCAGUGCACGGCAAAGCAGCUCGGAGAAAAACACAAGGUCUAAAAGUCGUUUUGGUCAAGGUCGGCUUGCGUAAAGCACCUUAAACUAUAAGAAGACAGAAGACUCACCUCUGGACAUCUGAAAUUGCUCAUCACUUCUUGAAGGUCUUCAGAACGAUGACUUCUAAAUGUUUUAAGUUAUUUAUUAAUUAUUCUUGCAAGCCACAUAAAUCGUAGUGCUAAGAGAAAUAUAUAGUUAGGUCUUAUGAAAUCUAAUUGUAAAUAUGAAACUUUUUAAAUCUAAUUUUCCUUUGGUGUGAUGCUAGGCUUAUGUAGAAAAUUAGUAUUUACAAAUUUGCAUAGUUAAGGCUCCUAGUAUUUGUUAUCCUUUAUUUAUUUGAAAGAGAAGAGGUCUAAACUCUCAAGUAGCUAAGAAGUUUUUUAAGACCUUAAAAAUUAGGGGAACACAGCUGGUAGUGGUAUGGUACAUGUGCACUAAUUAUAGUAUGUCUUUUGGGCUGUAAAUCUUGGGAUAGCACUGAGAACUAUAGCCAGUCCAGUUCUUUUUUAAAUUUUAUUUAUUUAUUUAUUUUUGGCUGCGUUGGGUCUUUGUUGCUGCACGCGGGCUUUCUCUAUUUGUGGCAAGUGGGGGUUACUCUUCGUUGCGGUGCAGUGGCUUCUCUUUGUUGUGGAGCACAAGUUCUAGGCGCGCAGGCUCAGUAGUUGUGGCUCACAGGCUCAGUAGUUGUGACGUGCGGACUCUAGAGCGCAGGCUCAGUAUUUGUGGCACACGGGCUUAGUUGCUCCACAGCAUGUGGGAUCUUCCCUGACCAGGGCUCGAACCUGUGUCCUGUACAUUGUCAGGUGGAUUCUUAACCACUGCACCACCAGGGAAGUCCCUAGCCAGUCCAAUUCUAAUUGGCUAACUCUCUCAUUUAAAGCUGAUCUAUUGGGGAGGAUGAUAUGGGGAUAAUAUUAUUUCCACUUUUAUAGGACUGUUGCAGGGGCGGGGUAAAUGAUUUAGAGAUCUAAAACAGUUAGCACAGUAUUUUCUGGCUAAUCGUAAGGCCUCCAGAAAUGUUAACUAUUAUUAUUGUUGCACUGUGGGAUCUUAGUUCCCUGACCAGUGAUUAAACCCGGGCCCUUCGCAGUGAGAGUGUGGAGUCCUAACCACUAGACCACCAGGGAAUUUGCUGUUAUUUUAAUAUUUGGGAAGUGCCCUUAAAAGUCUUUAAGAUGGGAGAUUGAUAUCCCUCUUCCUAUAACUUGAGUUGCUAAGACUGAUGUGUGUUUGUUUAAUGCAAGAAAGAAAAGAGGCACAUAAUAAUUCAGUGGUUGCUGUGGCAUCAUUUGUUACUUUGUUAUACUAAACCUCUUGCCUCAUUUAAGCAGUGUAAACAGGAUUUGUAGGAAGAGGUAGGAAAACUGUUUCCUGCUGUGUGGUGGUGAGUGACCUGUGCUGUCUUCAAAGAGGUACUGAAGGAGAGAGUGAGGCUGCAGCAUGGUUUUAUAGCAGCUCUCCUUCCAAGAUUAUCUUUCCUUGAGAAAACGUAGCUAGUUGCGCUUUUACUACUUGUCUAUGACAAGAGUAGUUAUCAAACUGUAGAAGAGUGGUUGCUAAAUUAGUAGCUGCUGAGACUGCUGCUAGCUCUCUUAAGGUGCCUUAUCUCCUUCAGUCUCACCAUAAACCCCCAAAUCGGGUAUUAUCCCCAUUUUAUAGGUGGAGAAGAAAGUUCAGGGAGCUAAAGUAAUCCGCACACUGGGAUUGAAGUCUAGGUCUAUCAGCACAUUCCAACACCUUGAAACAAUUUUACCUUGGAUUACCUGAAACAUUUUCUCUUAGAGUGCCUCCUGGCUCACUGGCAGCUCCUUCAAACUGAAAACAAGUGAUCCCAGCUCACUCCCUGUGGUUCUAGCCUUGUUUAUCCAAGUGCCUACUUGAGAUUUGUAUUUGGAGUAUCAGUAGGUGUCUCCAACUUAACAUAAUAAAAGCAGGACUUGUGUUAUGUCUCCCCAACCCACCACCAACUCCCUGCUCGUUCAGUAAAUGGCACUACUGCCCACUCAAGUGCACAAGCUGAAUGUUUAGAAAUUCCUCAUUAUUCCUCUUUUUCCUUCACUCCCCACAUCCAAUUCAUCGGCAAGUCUGAUAUAAAACCUACAUCCAUUUGCUUCUCUCCAUCGCCAUAAUCCAUCACUCCAAGUUAUUAACAUCUCCAAGCCUCCUAAGUGAUUCCAGCUCCCACUCUAACCUCUGUGAUUCACAAAGCAACUACAGUACUUUUGAAAUGUGAAUCAGAUCACAUCACACUCCAGUAGCACCUCAUCAAACCUAGAAUAAAAUCCAACUUCCAUUGCCCGGGUUUACGAAGUCCCACACAGACUAGCCCCUGGCUGCCUCUCAGUCUCCUUUCCCCUCUUGCUACUACAUUCCAGUCACGUGGCCUACCUGCUCCUCCAAUAAGUAAGCUCAUUCCCACCAUUUAGUUCCUUCACAUUACUGUUCCCACUGUCUAGAAGCCUCCUUAUUAUAAUUCAGGUUUUAGGUUAGAUGUCAUUUCCUCACAGGAGGCAUUUCCAUGUCCCCAAUCUAAGGUAGCUACCCAAGUCACUCUCAUUACAUCAUCAUAGUUUAUUUCUGUACAAAUCACAAAUCUGACAUUAUUACAUCAUUAUUUUUUUCUUUUCUUUUUUUUCUUUAAGUCUUUAUUGAAUUUGGUACAAUAUUGCUUCUGUUUUAUGUUUUGGUUUUUUGGCCCCUAGGCAUGUGGGAUCCCGACCAGGGAUUGAACCCGCACCCCCUGCACUGGAAGGCAAAGUCUUAACCGCUGGACCACCAGGGAAACCCCUUCUUUCUUUCUUUUUUGUCUAUUGGUUUGCAAUUUGUCUUCCAUGCCAGAAAAUAAAAUGCAUCCAAAUAGGAAAAGAAGUAGGGCUUCCCUGGUGGCACAGUGGUUAAGAAUCCACCUGCCAAUUCAGGGCACACGGGUUCAAGCCCUGGUCCGGGAAGAUCCCACAUGCCGCGGAGUAACUAAGCCUGUGUGUCCCAACGACUGAGCCUGCGCUCUAGAGCCCGCGAGCCACAACUACUGAAGCCUGUGCACCUAGAGCCUAUGCUCCGCAACAAGAGAAGCCACUGCAAUGAGAAGCCCACGCACUGCAACAAAGAGUAGCCCCACUCACCACAACUAGAGAAAGGCCGCGCGCAGCAACGAAGACCCAACGCAGCCAAAAAUAAAUAAAUAAAUUAAAUUAAAAAAAAAAAGUAAAACCAUAUCUAUUCACAGACGACAUGAUCUUGUAUAUAGAAAAUCCCAAGAAAUCCACUAAAAGCUAUUAGAACAUAUAAUUAAGUUCAAGAUUUCAGGAUAUACAAUCAAUAUACAAAAAUCAAUUUAUUUCUAUAUACUAGCAAUGAAAAAUAUGAAUAUGAAAUUUUUUAAAAUUCCCUUUACAAUAGCAUCAAAAAGAAUAAAAUACUUAAGAAUAAAUUUCACAAAAGAAGUGUAAAAUGUGUACUCUGAAAACUACAAGAUAUCAUUGAAAGAAAUUAAAGAAGAUCUAAAUAAAUGGGAAGAUUAUCCCAUGUUCAUGGAUCAGAACACUUAAUAUUGUUAAGAUGGUAAUACCCCUCAACUUGAUCUACAGAUUCACCACAGUUCCUGUCAGAUUUCCAGCUGGCUUCAUUGUAGAAACUGACAAACCAAUCCUAAAAUUCAUAUGGAAACUCAAGGGACCCAGAACUGCCAAAACAAUUUUGAAAAAGAACAAAGGGUUCACUCUUUCUGAUUUCAACUCUUCCUACAAAGGUGCAGUAAUCAAGGCAGUGUAGUACUAGCAUAUGGACAGACACACAGAUCAAUGAAGCAGAAUUGAGAGUCCAGAAACAAACCCAGCUAUUUAUGGCCAACUGAUUUUCAACAAUAGUGCCAAGACCAUUCAAUGGGGAAAGAAUAGUCUUUUCUACAAAUGGUGCUGGGAAAAUGAUAGCUUCCUGCAAAGGAGUGAAGUUAGACCCCAUCUCACACUAUAUACACAAAAAUUGAUUCAAAAUGGUUCUAAGACCUAAUUGUAAAAGCAAACUGUAAAACUCUUCGAGGAAAACACAGGGGUAAAUCUUUACAACCUUGGAUUUAGCAGUGGAUACUUAGAUAAGACACUAAAAGCACAAGCAACAAAAGGAAAGAUAGAUAAAUUGGACUUUACCAAGAUUAAAAACAUUUGUGUUUCAGUGGGCACAAUCAAGAAAGUGAAAAGACAGCCUAUAGAAUGGGAGAAAAUAUUUACAAAUCACAUAUCUGAUAAGGGACUUAUAUCCAGAAUUUAUAAAGAACUCUUACAACUCAAAAUUUAAAAAAGACAACCCAGUUUUUUAAAUGGUAAAGGAUUUGAAUAGACAUUUCUCCAAAGAAGAUGGCCAUUUGGCCAAAACCACUUGAAAAGAUGCUCAACAUCAUUAGCCAUGAGGGAAAUGCAAAUGAAAACCAUGAGUUACCACUUCAUACCCAGUAGAAUAGCUAUCACCAAAAAGCCACCUAAUAAUGUGGCCAGGAAUGUGGCAAAAUUGGAAUCCUCAUGAACUCCUGGUGAGAAUGUAAAAUGGAGCAGCUAUUUUGCACUUUGCAAAGCAGUCUGGAAGUUCCUCAAAAGAAAUUAAACAUAGAGUUACCAUUUACCUACCAGUCUACCCUAACAGGUAUAUCAUUUUCUAUUUAGUGUCUUCUUGUGUUUACCUAUAUGCACAUAUCCAUGCACAGAACAGUAUUAUCUGCUUUU
Molecule: RNA transcript, 6997 nt
Organism: Orcinus orca (killer whale)
Lineage: Eukaryota; Metazoa; Chordata; Mammalia; Artiodactyla; Delphinidae
Gene: SANBR
Gene name: SANT and BTB domain regulator of CSR
Exons: 23
Source: RefSeq, a predicted model, not a curated record